UUGAACGCUGGCGGCAGGCCUAACACCUGCAAGUCGAGCGGAUGAAGGGAGCUUGCUCCUAGAUUCAGCGGCGGACGGGUGAGUAAUGCCUAGGAAUCUGCCUGGUAGUGGGGGAUAACGUCCGGAAACGGGCGCUAAUACCGCAUACGUCCUGAGGGAGAAAGUGGGGGAUCUUCGGACCUCACGCUAUCAGAUGAGCCUAGGUCGGAUUAGCUAGUUGGUGGGGUAAAGGCCUACCAAGGCGACGAUCCGUAACUGGUCUGAGAGGAUGAUCAGUCACACUGGAACUGAGACACGGUCCAGACUCCUACGGGAGGCAGCAGUGGGGAAUAUUGGACAAUGGGCGAAAGCCUGAUCCAGCCAUGCCGCGUGUGUGAAGAAGGUCUUCGGAUUGUAAAGCACUUUAAGUUGGGAGGAAGGGCAGUAAGUUAAUACCUUGCUGUUUUGACGUUACCAACAGAAUAAGCACCGGCUAACUUCGUG
This 483-nucleotide ribosomal RNA is filed under the name uncultured bacterium. RNAcentral's name for it is "partial 16S ribosomal RNA". It matches the Rfam family "Bacterial small subunit ribosomal RNA", at positions 30 to 507 of the family's 1533-position model. The record is from RNAcentral.